UCCGGGAGUAAUUUAUACAUACAUUUUGAUGGAUCAAGUCUCACUCGUUAUCAAUUUUCGUCUAUUUUACAAAAGAGUUUGUCAUUCUCCGAAAUCAAUGGACAUUUCAGAGCACAUUCUUUCAGAAUCGGGGGAGCAACUGAAGCAAAAAGGCUAGGAGUAGAUGACGAAACAUUAAAGAAAUGGGGUCGUUGGACAUCGGAUGCUUACACAAAAUACAUCCGUUUGAACAUUUAAACAUAUAGGCGAUACUUUUUAAAACGCAAUAGCUUAUUAAAAAAAAAAAAAAUAAUAAUACAUUCAUCAAUUGUAGGUGUCAAAUCAAUUUGGUUAAUAGGAUCAUCCAUAGUAUAUUGGGCCAAUAAAGAAGCUUCGUCUAGACCUGGGGGACUUCACCUUGGCCUACAGAAUACAGGUGCUCAUAUGGUUUGGAUUGGUCAAAGGGGUAUGAAAUGGGGUGAUUUAAAUAGAGUCUUUGAACAAAGGUUGCUUAACCGCCCCCUUCCGAGUUUCCUUGUUAUUCAACUUGGGUCUAAUGAUUUGGGUAUAUUGACAUCAGAGAAAUUAUUCAGUGAUAUAGAAUGUGAC
This 588-nucleotide long non-coding RNA is filed under the name Mytilus galloprovincialis (Mediterranean mussel). The record is from RNAcentral. Lineage: Eukaryota; Metazoa; Mollusca; Bivalvia; Mytilida; Mytilidae.